This 467-nucleotide ribosomal RNA is filed under the name uncultured bacterium. RNAcentral's name for it is "partial 16S ribosomal RNA". It matches the Rfam family "Bacterial small subunit ribosomal RNA", at positions 28 to 507 of the family's 1533-position model. The record is from RNAcentral.
GAUGAACGCUGGCGGCGUGCUUAACACAUGCAAGUCGAACGGAAAGGCCCAAGCUUGCUUGGGUACUCGAGUGGCGAACGGGUGAGUAACACGUGGGUGAUCUGCCCUGCACUUCGGGAUAAGCCUGGGAAACUGGGUCUAAUACCGGAUAGGACCACAUUUUGGAUGGUGUGGUGGAAAGUUUUUCGGUGUGGGAUGAGCUCGCGGCCUAUCAGCUUGUUGGUGGGGUAAUGGCCUACCAAGGCGUCGACGGGUAGCCGGCCUGAGAGGGUGUACGGCCACAUUGGGACUGAGAUACGGCCCAGACUCCUACGGGAGGCAGCAGUGGGGAAUAUUGCACAAUGGGCGCAUGCCUGAUGCAGCGACGCCGCGUGGGGGAUGACGGCCUUCGGGUUGUAAACUCCUUUCGCUAGGGACGAAGCGUUUUUGUGACGGUACCUGGAGAAGAAGCACCGGCUAACUACGUG